RNAcentral lists this transfer RNA (70 nucleotides) under Acropyga acutiventris. RNAcentral's name for it is "tRNA-Cys". The record is from RNAcentral. Lineage: Eukaryota; Metazoa; Arthropoda; Insecta; Hymenoptera; Formicidae.
GUCUUUUUAGUUUAAUUUAAUUAAAACGUUAAAUUGCAAAUUUAGAGAUUUUUUUGAUAAAAUUAAGAUU